RNAcentral lists this long non-coding RNA (446 nucleotides) under Trifolium pratense (red clover). RNAcentral describes it as "long non-coding RNA (TPRA_LNC006467)". Lineage: Eukaryota; Viridiplantae; Streptophyta; Magnoliopsida; Fabales; Fabaceae. The record is from RNAcentral.
ACUAUUCUAGGGUUUCGCCGUCGCGGUCUUCAUCGGUUAUUCAUGUAUAAUUUUUUUAACUCUUUUGUUAUGUCAAUUAUUAUUAUGAGUAACUAAUCUCAUUAGAUUAGGAAUUAUAGAUGAUUCUCUUUAAAACUAUCUGAACCAUGUAACUACGUGUUCUAGUUUAUUCAAUGAAAACUUAUAAUUAUUCAGUUAAUUUUGUGUUUAUUGCUUUUCGUUAAUUGAUCACUUUCGAAUUGAUUUUAAGUUAUAAAUCACUAUUGACCCUAGGGUUUAUACUGGAACUAGAUUAAUUGUUUGCCAAUCGUAAUUGCUUUAGGAAUAAAGAAUUAGUUGGUAUGAUUAAGAAUUUAACGGCCAUUCAUGCUUUUGAUAAUAUUAGUUUCACCUAAGGAAUUAGGGUGCUAUAUUAGAUAAACAGGAUCGAUGAGCCAAGGAAUUGG